AGAGAGAGAGAGAUGCAUAUGCAAUAAGCGAUGUGUAGAUAGGUGUGUGUUCCUUCGAUUUGAAGGAACGGAGAGAGAGAUAGAAAGAUAAGGGUCACCGUUUCACGGCCUCACGGGGGUUGUGAUGGUUCUCUUUUCACCAUUGUCAUGUGCUUGUGCUCUCUGUUCUGAUCCUCUCUUUGAUCUCCUUUUCCUUAACUUUGCCUUU
Molecule: unclassified non-coding RNA, 208 nt
Filed under: Hevea brasiliensis (rubber tree)
Lineage: Eukaryota; Viridiplantae; Streptophyta; Magnoliopsida; Malpighiales; Euphorbiaceae
Source: RNAcentral